RNAcentral lists this transfer RNA (85 nucleotides) under Felis catus (domestic cat). It matches the Rfam family "tRNA". Rfam says of the family: Transfer RNA (tRNA) molecules are approximately 80 nucleotides in length. The record is from Rfam by way of RNAcentral. Lineage: Eukaryota; Metazoa; Chordata; Mammalia; Carnivora; Felidae.
GCCUGGGUGGCUCAGUCAGUUAAGCGUCUGACUUCGGCUCAGGUCAUGAUCUCACAGUCCGUGAGUUCGAGCCCCGCAUCAGGCU